GUGUUCCUACGGGGGGCAGCAGUGGGGAAUAUUGCACAAUGGGGGAAACCCUGAUGCAGCAACGCCGCGUGAGUGAAGAAGUAUCUCGGUAUGUAAAGCUCUAUCAGCAGGGAAGAAAAUGACGGUACCUGACUAAGAAGCCCCGGCUAACUACGUGCCAGCAGCCGCGGUAAUACGUAGGGGGCAAGCGUUAUCCGGAUUUACUGGGUGUAAAGGGAGCGUAGACGGUGUGGCAAGUCUGAAGUGAAAGCCCGGGGCUC
RNAcentral lists this ribosomal RNA (260 nucleotides) under uncultured bacterium. RNAcentral's name for it is "partial 16S ribosomal RNA". It matches the Rfam family "Bacterial small subunit ribosomal RNA", at positions 333 to 610 of the family's 1533-position model. The record is from RNAcentral.